AAUCAACGCUGGCGGCGUGCCUCAGACAUGCAAGUCGAACGAUUAAAGCUCUCUUCGGAGAGUGUAUAGAGUGGCGCACGGGUGAGUAACACGUAAGUAAUCUACCUUUGAGUGGGGAAUAACAGUCGGAAACGACUGCUAAUACCGCAUAAUGCAGCGGCAUCGCAAGAUGACAGUUGUUAAAGGAGCAAUCCGCUUAAAGAGGAGCUUGCGGCAGAUUAGCUAGUUGGUAAGGUAAUGGCUUACCAAGGCUACGAUCUGUAUCCGGUCUAAGAGGACGGUCGGACACACUGACACUGAAUAACGGGUCAGACUCCUACGGGAGGCAGCAGUCGGGAAUUUUGGGC
Molecule: ribosomal RNA, 347 nt
Filed under: uncultured bacterium
Lineage: Bacteria
Description: bacterial SSU rRNA
Rfam family: Bacterial small subunit ribosomal RNA
Source: RNAcentral